Molecule: long non-coding RNA, 223 nt
Filed under: Mytilus galloprovincialis (Mediterranean mussel)
Lineage: Eukaryota; Metazoa; Mollusca; Bivalvia; Mytilida; Mytilidae
Source: RNAcentral
UUAAGGAUGUACACCUCUGAGGAGCCAAAAAUUUCUAGAAUUAAACUUUUUUUCUUAACUUGAUUUUUGGGUUUAUAAGACUAACAAAAUAAUUGGUGAAGAAAAAAUCAUAUGGUGGUGCACUUCUUUUUUUGCUACGGCCCUUUGAAAAUGCCCAUUUUUGAUGAUUUUCCCAUUUUUAAUCGAUUUUUACCUAUUUUUUGGCUAUUUUCGUGAAAAAAAU